CUCCUCCUGGUAGUACUCAAGGGUGUCCUUGAGGAUGUGCUAUAUCCAAUUGUGGUGCUUGUUAUUAUUCAUAUAAUGAUCUACCAUUCCCUCCAUUACCUGGUUCUUGUCCUAGUGUGUGUCCAUUGGUUAAUGGUGAAGUGGAUGAGUCCUGCAUGGCAAGAUGGGGACAGUGUGUCCAGAGAUCAUAUUAUACCAUUUAUAAAACUGUUUCUGAGCGUGAGAGGUUUAAAGAUAAUUUCCGCUGCUGGUCUCUUCAAUGCAUUAACUAGACAUUAAAUAGUAAAAGACUGUAGAUCUAGAUCCAUAGUUAUGAUUUCCUUUUGUUCGUAGUUUUUGUUAGUAAUAAUAGAUUCUUAUUGAUGUAUAAAAUUAAA
Molecule: long non-coding RNA, 377 nt
Organism: Amphimedon queenslandica
Lineage: Eukaryota; Metazoa; Porifera; Demospongiae; Haplosclerida; Niphatidae
Exons: 2
Source: RefSeq, a predicted model, not a curated record